Manis javanica (Malayan pangolin) is the source of this 107-nucleotide small nuclear RNA. NCBI's taxonomy places the organism in Eukaryota, Metazoa, Chordata, Mammalia, Pholidota, Manidae. The record is from RefSeq and is a predicted model, not a curated record.
AUUUAAAAGACUGACCGUGAACAUAUUCUAUAAUUGGAAUGAUACAGAGAUUAGCAUGGCCCCUGUGCAAGGGUGACAUGAAAAUCCAUGAAGCAUUCCAUAGUUUC